Molecule: ribosomal RNA, 225 nt
Filed under: Apoica arborea
Lineage: Eukaryota; Metazoa; Arthropoda; Insecta; Hymenoptera; Vespidae
Description: partial small subunit ribosomal RNA
Source: RNAcentral
UUAUAUCAUUAAAUUUAAAAGAUUUGGCGGUAUUUUAUAAAAUUAGAGGAACCUGUGUAUUAAUUGAUAAUCCACGAUAAGAUAAACUUAAAUAUUUAUGUAUUGCUGUUUUUAAAUUAUUAUUAAUUAAAUUUUUAUAAUAUUAUUUAAAUAUAAUUCAAGUCAAAAUAUAGUUUAGUUAAGAUAUGGGUUACAAUUUUAAGUUGAAAUUGGAUUUAAUAGUAA